RNAcentral lists this ribosomal RNA (375 nucleotides) under uncultured bacterium. RNAcentral describes it as "bacterial SSU rRNA". It matches the Rfam family "Bacterial small subunit ribosomal RNA", at positions 524 to 898 of the family's 1533-position model. The record is from RNAcentral.
UACGGGGGUGGCAAGCGUUGUCCGGAUUUACUAGGCGUAAAGGGCAGGUAGGCGGAUUGAUAAGUUAAUCGUUAAAGGCCCAUGCUUACCAUGGGUAAGGCGGUUGAUACUGUCAGUCUGGAAGUGAGUGGGGGAAGACGGAAUUCCUGGUGUAGCGGUGGAAUGCGCAGAUAUCAGGAGGAACACCGAAGGCGAAGGCAGUCUUCUACGCUUUGCUUGACGCUAAACUGCGAAGGUGCGGGUAUCAAACAGGAUUAGAUACCCUGGUAGUCCGCACAGUAAACGAUAAUCACUAGGUGUCGGUGGGAUAGACCUGUCGGUGCCGUAGCUAACGCGAUAAGUGAUUCGCCUGGGGAGUACGAUCGCAAGGUUGAA